ACCAAACAAACAAGGAUUUAUGCAGACAUAUUUUCACUUGUGCAUGCAUAGACAUCUCUCGUAGGGUGUACAUGAAGCUGGGAUGAAAGAGGCAGACAUGAAGACAAUGGGACAACAUAAAAACAAUGAGCUAUGAAGAACCAACACUGUGAAGCAUGUGACACAGGUCCCUCCUAAAGGCCUAUGUGGGAGAGCAGCCAGAGGACUAACUUCCCACGAGUUCCAGCUGUUCACCUGCCACCCAGAGAAGCCUUACACCAGGGACAUGGUGAAUUUCAGAUCACUCAAGCUGCCUCCUACUGAAAGCCUCAGCCUUUUCCUUGGCUCUCCUUCCUCAGGGUUCACAGUGGUGGAAAGUAAGAAGAACAUGUUUCUGGAGUUAAACCAUCUUACAUCAUCAGGACAGAAUUUCCUCUAUGUGGUAUGUGGGUUUGCCACUUUAAAGACUAUCUAAACCAGUCAGGUUGAUCCUUAGAGCUGAGGCAGGACUCUUGGCAGGGUAGGUGCCCGUUUCGUCGAUGAAGUCUUAAAUACCAAAUACUAGUUUUCCCUUGCUGUAAACAAAACAAAACAAAACAAAACACCAUGACCAAGGCAACUUAUACAAGACAGAGAUUAUUUGGGCUUAUGGUUCCAGAGGGUUAGAUUCCAUCAUGGUGGGAAGCAGGGCAGUGGGAACGGGGUGCUGAGAGAACAGAGCCUUUAUUCUAAGCACAAGACAGAGAGAGGACACUGGAAGUGUCAUGACCAUGAGGCUUUUAAUCUCAGCACCCAUCUCCAAUGACAUAUUCCUUCUAGCAAGGCUGCACCUCCUAAACCUCCCCCAAACAUUGCCACCAACUGGAGACCAAGUGUUAUAUCUGAGCCUGUGGGGACACUCUCAUCCAAUUAACAACACACCAUAAAAAGGAAGACUGGAAUGGCCAUUUGUUCAUCUUCGAAAUUACCCUUUACCCCCAGGCAUUUUUAAAUGUCUUUACUAAGGAGUAAAGGGACACUGAUCUUGA
Non-coding RNA from Cricetulus griseus (Chinese hamster), 1007 nucleotides. NCBI's taxonomy places the organism in Eukaryota, Metazoa, Chordata, Mammalia, Rodentia, Cricetidae. The record is from RefSeq and is a predicted model, not a curated record.